Scophthalmus maximus (turbot) is the source of this 526-nucleotide long non-coding RNA. RefSeq lists it as uncharacterized. NCBI's taxonomy places the organism in Eukaryota, Metazoa, Chordata, Actinopteri, Pleuronectiformes, Scophthalmidae. The record is from RefSeq and is a predicted model, not a curated record. The transcript is spliced from 4 exons.
UAAAAUUCCUUAUAUAAAGAGUUUUAAGCCUCGAAGCCAGCCAAUAAAUCACGAGACGAAUCGUAACCAUACAACAUUUUAUUCGGAACAAACCAAAAAAUGGAAACGGAAUCAAGGCAAAGGUCCAGCACUGGGCAGUGUUACCAUGGCCGCAGACAGACGCUGUGUGAGGAAUACAGACAGCUCGGUGACUGUGCUGCGUUCACGGACUUCUUGAGAGCUAGUAAACAUAAUCACCCUCAUCAUCGAUCGACAAAGUCGCCCCAAACAGAUAUCACCUGAUGCGAGGAUGGAGGUGACCUCAGCAUUGACACGUUGCGGAUUCCUGCUCUCUCUGGUUCCACAGAUGGGUCACGCUGCUGCUCUCACUCAGCUGCUUCAGUCUCAGAGUGGGUCCCCUCACCUUGAUGCUCUCCCCGUCGAGCUGCAGCGUCCUCUCUCUGAAGUCGACCCCGAUCGUUGCCUCCUGGUUGUUCAGGAAAGUGCCUCCGCAGAAUCGGUACGUGAGACACGUCUUCCCCACGUU